Molecule: ribosomal RNA, 435 nt
Filed under: uncultured bacterium
Lineage: Bacteria
Description: bacterial SSU rRNA
Rfam family: Bacterial small subunit ribosomal RNA
Source: RNAcentral
AACGCGAAGAACCUUACCUGGGCUCGAACGGCUUAAGAUCAACGGUAGAAAUACUGUCUUCUCGCAAGAGACUUGAGUCGAGGUGCUGCAUGGCUGUCGUCAGCUCGUGUCGCGAGAUGUUGGGUUAAGUCCCGCAACGAGCGCAACCCUUGUCCUGUGUUGCCAUCAUUAAGUUGGGAACUCUCAGGAGACCGCCAGCGAUAAGCUGGAGGAAGGUGGGGAUGAUGUCAAGUCAUCAUGGCCUUUAUGUCCAGGGCUACACACGUGCUACAAUGGCCGGUACAAAGCGCUGCAAACUCGCAAGAGGGAGCUAAUCGCAAAAAACCGGUCUCAGUUCGGAUCGCAGGCUGCAACUCGCCUGCGUGAAGCUGGAAUCGCUAGUAAUGCCGUAUCAGAACGAUGGCGUGAAUACGUUCCCGGGUCUUGUACACACCG